This 330-nucleotide ribosomal RNA is filed under the name uncultured eukaryote. Its description in RNAcentral is "partial 18S ribosomal RNA". It matches the Rfam family "Eukaryotic small subunit ribosomal RNA", at positions 1470 to 1796 of the family's 1831-position model. The record is from RNAcentral.
CCCUUAGAUGUUCUGGGCCGCACGCGCGCUACACUGAUGCAUUCAACGAGUCUAAAACCUGGUCUGAUAGGGCUGGGUAAUCUUUUGAAUGUGCAUCGUGAUUGGGAUAGAUGAUUGCAAUUCUUCAUCUUCAACGAGGAAUGCCUAGUAAACGCAAGUCAUCAGCUUGCAUUGAUUACGUCCCUGCCCUUUGUACACACCGCCCGUCGCUCCUACCGAUUGAAUGUUCCGAUGAAUACCAUGGACUGAGAGUAUGAAUGGGUUCGCCUAUUUCUGCUUCUCUGGAAGUGGAGUAAAUCUUAACAUUUAGAGGAAGGAGAAGUCGUAACA